GUGUGCCUUUGGGAAGGGUAUCCUCCACCCACUGUGCACCCACCCGACCUGUGGCUUGGAGCAGGCCCUCCCUGGCCAGCAGCUCUGCUUCUGCUGAGUGAAGAGGAAGGAGCACUUGGCUCUCCCUCCAGGAGGUGCAUGAAGAUUAAUUAGCAUCCCCCAGGCCCCGGCAGCACAUUCGAGUGUGAGAAGCGCUGCCCCAGUGGACAGAAGCAAAGCCUAUCACACCCGCACCGACUCUCCCGGGUUCUGCACACAGCUGUGCAGGUUGUAUACUGCACUGCACCUGGGCCCUCACUAUGCCGGCGGUGGGCGGCGGGGAGGGGGGUGCUUCCUAGCCUGCUCCCCCACCAUUUAGUCUUCUUCAAUGGCUUUCCUGCUCUGAAAAGUUAUUUGUUCAGGGCUCUAUCUGCUCCCUCUUGUCUGAGGUGUCUAAUCUGGUAAAUGAAUCCAAGCUAAUUACCCAUGGGUGUGUGGGUGAUACAUUUCCCUCCUCCUGGC
This 501-nucleotide long non-coding RNA is filed under the name Homo sapiens (human). Its description in RNAcentral is "HSALNT0245059". Lineage: Eukaryota; Metazoa; Chordata; Mammalia; Primates; Hominidae. The record is from RNAcentral.